Molecule: ribosomal RNA, 301 nt
Filed under: uncultured bacterium
Lineage: Bacteria
Description: partial 16S ribosomal RNA
Rfam family: Bacterial small subunit ribosomal RNA
Source: RNAcentral
CAGUCGCCGCGGGAACACGGAGGGCGCGAGCGUUACCCGGAUUUACUGGGCGUAAAGGGCGUGUAGGCGGCCUGGGGCGUCCCAUGUGAAAGGCCACGGCUCAACCGUGGAGGAGCGUGGGAUACGCUCAGGCUAGAGGGUGGGAGAGGGUGGUGGAAUUCCCGGAGUAGCGGUGAAAUGCGCAGAUACCGGGAGGAACGCCGAUGGCGAAGGCAGCCACCUGGUCCACUUCUGACGCUGAGGCGCGAAAGCGUGGGGAGCAAACCGGAUUAGAUACCCCCGUAGUCCCUGUCUCUUAUAC